RNAcentral lists this small RNA (29 nucleotides) under Klebsiella pneumoniae UHKPC77. RNAcentral describes it as "RtT RNA". Lineage: Bacteria; Pseudomonadati; Pseudomonadota; Gammaproteobacteria; Enterobacterales; Enterobacteriaceae. The record is from RNAcentral.
GAACUGCUGCAUUAACUGGCGCACAAUCA